Molecule: ribosomal RNA, 322 nt
Filed under: Staphylococcus aureus
Lineage: Bacteria; Bacillati; Bacillota; Bacilli; Caryophanales; Staphylococcaceae
Description: bacterial SSU rRNA
Rfam family: Bacterial small subunit ribosomal RNA
Source: RNAcentral
UUUUAUGGAGAGUUUGAUCCUGGCUCAGGAUGAACGCUGGCGGCGUGCCUAAUACAUGCAAGUCGAGCGAACGGACGAGAAGCUUGCUUCUCUGAUGUUAGCGGCGGACGGGUGAGUAACACGUGGAUAACCUACCUAUAAGACUGGGAUAACUUCGGGAAACCGGAGCUAAUACCGGAUAAUAUUUUGAACCGCAUGGUUCAAAAGUGAAAGACGGUCUUGCUGUCACUUAUAGAUGGAUCCGCGCUGCAUUAGCUAGUUGGUAAGGUAACGGCUUACCAAGGCAACGAUGCAUAGCCGACCUGAGAGGGUGAUCGGCCAC